RNAcentral lists this ribosomal RNA (193 nucleotides) under Lentzea jiangxiensis. RNAcentral describes it as "16S rRNA. Bacterial SSU". It matches the Rfam family "Bacterial small subunit ribosomal RNA", at positions 1 to 194 of the family's 1533-position model. The record is from RNAcentral. Lineage: Bacteria; Bacillati; Actinomycetota; Actinomycetes; Pseudonocardiales; Pseudonocardiaceae.
CCUUAUUGGAGAGUUUGAUCCUGGCUCAGGACGAACGCUGGCGGCGUGCUUAACACAUGCAAGUCGAGCGGUAAGGCCCUUCGGGGUACACGAGCGGCGAACGGGUGAGUAACACGUGGGUAACCUGCCCUGUACUCUGGGAUAAGCCUUGGAAACGAGGUCUAAUACCGGAUACGACCUGGGAUCGCAUGAU